Molecule: unclassified non-coding RNA, 251 nt
Filed under: root metagenome
Description: partial contains small subunit ribosomal RNA, internal transcribed spacer 1, and 5.8S ribosomal RNA
Source: RNAcentral
UUUCCGUAGGUGAACCUGCGGAAGGAUCAUUAACGAGUUUUGAAUGAAGUUGUUCUGGUCUUUCGGGGCAAGUGAACGCUUCUCUCAAUCCAUCUUACACCUGUGCACUUAUCGGGGAAGACUUGGGUCUAAGUUGGGCAACGACGGUGAUCUAUAGUCUCCUCUUUAUACCAAAUAACAGUCUUAGAACGUCUUUUUUGCUUGAUGCAAACUUUUAAAUACAACUUUCAGCAACGGAUCUCUUGGCUCUC